CAGCAGCCGCGGGAAUACGUAGGUGGCAAGCGUUGUCCGGAAUUAUUGGGCGUAAAGGGCUCGCAGGCGGUUUCUUAAGUCUGAUGUGAAAGCCCCCGGCUCAACCGUGGAGGGUCAUUGGAAACUGGGAAACUUGAGUGCAGAAGAGGAGAGUGGAAUUCCACGUGUAGCGGUGAAAUGCGUAGAGAUGUGGAGGAACACCAGUGGCGAAGGCGACUCUCUGGUCUGUAACUGACGCUGAGGAGCGAAAACGUGGGGAGCGAACAGGAUUAGAUACCCCCGUAGUCCCUGUCUCUUAUAC
This 301-nucleotide ribosomal RNA is filed under the name uncultured bacterium. Its description in RNAcentral is "partial 16S ribosomal RNA". It matches the Rfam family "Bacterial small subunit ribosomal RNA", at positions 509 to 807 of the family's 1533-position model. The record is from RNAcentral.